This 375-nucleotide transfer-messenger RNA is filed under the name Eggerthellaceae. RNAcentral describes it as "D16-63 sp910588095 X1 Standard tmRNA". It matches the Rfam family "transfer-messenger RNA". Rfam says of the family: Bacterial tmRNA, also known as 10Sa RNA or SsrA, is named for its dual tRNA and mRNA-like properties. Its role is to liberate the mRNA from a stalled ribosome. RNAcentral also lists the same sequence under 1 other name. The record is from RNAcentral. Lineage: Bacteria; Bacillati; Actinomycetota; Coriobacteriia; Eggerthellales.
GGGGCCGACUGGUUUCGACAUGGUAGGUUUGACAUGAGGAGCAGGUCGUGGUCUCCUCGCCACGUUAAACAGGGGUGAUGUCAAGUUAAUUGGCAAGACCAACACUGUUAAGAGCAGCUAUCAGCCGCUCGCCAUGGCCGCUUAGCAGCGCGCCAUCCGCCGAGCCCGGAAAUUCCCCGCUUCGGGCAAGGCGUCAUCUCAGGGGAACGCUCCUCGGCACGUAGCCGGUAUGGCCGAGGCUAAGACCGAACCGACUCGGGGCAUGGACGUCCGCUCGCUGACCGACAGGCCCUCAGACCUGAGAGCGAGCUAAGCCUGUAGCGCCUCAUGGACGAUCUAGUAUGGACCGGAGUUCGAUCCUCCGCGGCUCCACCA